UGCGUCCUACGGGAGGCAGCAGUGAGGAAUAUUGGUCAAUGGGCGGAAGCCUGAACCAGCCAAGUCGCGUGAGGGAUUAAGGCCCUAUGGGUCGUAAACCUCUUUUGUCAGGGAGCAAUGGCGUCCACGUGUGGGCGUAUGGAGAGUACCUGAAGAAAAAGCAUCGGCUAACUCCGUGCCAGCAGCCGCGGUAAUACGGAGGAUGCGAGCGUUAUCCGGAUUUAUUGGGUUUAAAGGGUGCGUAGGCGGGCUUUUAAGUCAGCGGUAAAAAUUCGGGGCUCAACCCCGUCCGGCCGUUGAAACUG
RNAcentral lists this ribosomal RNA (305 nucleotides) under uncultured bacterium. RNAcentral describes it as "bacterial SSU rRNA". It matches the Rfam family "Bacterial small subunit ribosomal RNA", at positions 333 to 635 of the family's 1533-position model. The record is from RNAcentral.